Molecule: long non-coding RNA, 268 nt
Filed under: Nicotiana benthamiana
Lineage: Eukaryota; Viridiplantae; Streptophyta; Magnoliopsida; Solanales; Solanaceae
Description: long non-coding RNA (NBEN_LNC007520)
Source: RNAcentral
AAAUAACCCCCCCUCUUCUUCAUUUCUUCACUCAAAAUUCUUAUCUCAAUAUCAAUUCUCAAAUUCUCAAUUUCUCUCUUCCCUUCAAUUUGCAAGAUUUCAUAUUCUAAUUUUAUAAUUUUUAUUUGGCUCUUUUUUUUUUGAGUUUAAUUUAUUAGAAAUUAUCAUUUGGAAAUUGAAAUUCGAAGUUUGAAGUUCAAAGUUGAUAUACUCGCUUGACGUUUGUUCGGGGUAACACAGGAAUUGCGUAAUCAUGUGCUCAAUUUAU